This 521-nucleotide ribosomal RNA is filed under the name uncultured bacterium. Its description in RNAcentral is "bacterial SSU rRNA". It matches the Rfam family "Archaeal small subunit ribosomal RNA", at positions 345 to 866 of the family's 1478-position model. The record is from RNAcentral.
AACCUCCGCAAUGUGAGAAAUCGCGACGGGGGGAUCCCAAGUGCCAUUCUUAACGGGAUGGCUUUUCAUUAGUGUAAAGAGCUUUUGGAAUAAGGGCUGGGCGAGACCGGUGCCAGCCGCCGCGGUAACACCGGCAGCUCUAGUGGUAGCAGUUUUUAUUGGGCCUAAAGCGUCCGUAGCCGGUUUAAUAAGUCUCUGGUGAAAUCCUGUAGCUUAACUGUGGGAAUUGCUGGAGAUACUAUUAGACUUGAGACCGGGAGAGGUUAGAGGUACUCCCAGGGUAGAGGUGAAAUUCUGUAAUCCUGGGAGGACCGCCUGUUGCGAAGGCGUCUAACUGGAACGGUUCUGACGGUGAGGGACGAAAGUUAGGGGCGCGAACCGGAUUAGAUACCCGGGUAGUCCUAACUGUAAACGAUGCGGACUUGGUGUUGGGGUGGCUUUGAGCUGCUUCAGUGCCGAAGGGAAGCUGUUAAGUCCGCCGCCUGGGAAGUACGGUCGCAAGACUGAAACUUAAAGGAAUU